This is a small nuclear RNA of Suricata suricatta (meerkat), 103 nucleotides long. Lineage: Eukaryota; Metazoa; Chordata; Mammalia; Carnivora; Herpestidae. The record is from Ensembl.
GUGCUCACUUCAGCAGCCCCUAUACUGAAAUUGGAACAUUACAGAGAGUAGUGUGCCCUUGCACAAGGAUGACACAUACAUUCGUGAAGCACAUACAUUAUUA